Molecule: long non-coding RNA, 1309 nt
Organism: Felis catus (domestic cat)
Lineage: Eukaryota; Metazoa; Chordata; Mammalia; Carnivora; Felidae
Exons: 3
Source: RefSeq, a predicted model, not a curated record
CGCCAGAACCGUCCCAACGUGCUAGGGGCCAGAGACCCCUACUCAGGAAACCUCAGCCUGCACAAACGCUAGCAUUUUGCCUGCAGCUUGGGAGGAGGGGUCUCUGGAAAGCACUGAAAUCUAAGUGGUCCCUUCCAAGGCUGAGUCUAAUUGGAGAGCUAUGUUGACAGCGCCCUGGCUUCAUUUGACCAGGUUGACAGAGGCAAGCCCGGAGAAGUGCCCCAACUGGGAGAUGGGAGGAAUCCCCCAGUCAUGUUUGAAGCCUGCAAGUCCGAACAGCAGACGCCGCUCAGGGAGGAGACUGCCACUUGGAAUCCAACCACCCUCUACCCCAGCUCCCACAUUCUUGCCUUAUUGCCCGCUGUCUUGGAGAUCAAACAGCACAACGCUGCUGUCUCUUCCUUUCUCACUCCCUCCAGGGCCCCCAAUUUGCCGAGUCACUUAAAUCAUUACUGAAAGAUGUCUAGGUUCACAGACACCAAACCCUUUCAAAGAGAGGCGUGGGCUCCCAAAAGUGAAGCUCAGAAAGGCACAGAGGAAACUCUCCCAGUUCCGAAAUGUAGCCAACCCCAUGUUCGGGAAAAACGAUAAGCUGCUUUGCUGGCUCUCAGCUUCCUUCUGUCUCCUUGGGGCUUGGCUGGUCCCCAGGGUGCCACUUCUGGCUCUCUUUGGGCCUCCCACACUCUCUGCGACCUUUGGUUAUGCAAGAGGUAAGUCCUGUCCGUUCAGUCACGUGCACCUCUCUGUGCACCUUUCUGUGACGCACGCCCCUCCUCCCCCUGCACUUCCUUAACCCUCCAGCCCAAACGGACCACUCCUUCCUCUAAGUUUUAUCUUCUUUGUCCAAGAGUGCGUGUCCCUUGAAGGAGAGGAUCUGGCCCGUUCAAUUUUACAUCCAUCACAAUAUGCAACAUUGCACACCGUAGGAGCUGAACCAAUGUCUGUUUAAUGAAAAACAGAGCAUGUCUGUUGAUAUGACACGAAGUCUAAUUACAUAGUUAUUACUCUCAGCCCCCAACGAGAAACUCGUUCCUUGUUUUAUGUUGUGGAGAAAAGAUUCCUCUGCAUAAUAAAAAUACAAUUGUCUGCCUGCUGCCUUCAUGUCAAAGCAUUUCUACAUUUGUCAUUCCAUUUCAUCCUCAAAAAGCUGGCCCUUUUUUAGGGAAAGCAGAAUAGGUACAAUUGCCUCCAGUCUACAAAUGGGGACACUAAAACCCCUGGGCUCGGAGGAGAUACGAUUCUCCGUUCCUCUCACCAAAUUUCUUAUUUUUUUUUUUAAAUUUUUUUUCAACGUUUUUAUUUAUUUUUG